Molecule: ribosomal RNA, 253 nt
Filed under: uncultured bacterium
Lineage: Bacteria
Description: partial 16S ribosomal RNA
Rfam family: Bacterial small subunit ribosomal RNA
Source: RNAcentral
UACAGAGGUCCCAAGCGUUGUUCGGAUUCACUGGGCGUAAAGCGUGUGUAGGCGGAUCGUUAAGUGCCUCGUGAAAUCCCACGGCUUAACCGUGGAACUGCUUGGCAUACUGGCGGUCUUGAGCAACCUAGGGGCAAGCGGAACAAAUGGUGGAGCGGUGAAAUGCGUAGAUAUCGGGAGGAACACCAGUGGCGAAGGCGACUACCUGGCCUGUUCUUGACGCUGAGGCGCGAAAGCUAGGGGAGCAAACGGG